This 253-nucleotide ribosomal RNA is filed under the name uncultured bacterium. RNAcentral's name for it is "partial 16S ribosomal RNA". It matches the Rfam family "Bacterial small subunit ribosomal RNA", at positions 524 to 776 of the family's 1533-position model. The record is from RNAcentral.
UACGAAGGGGGCUAGCGUUGUUCGGAUUUACUGGGCGUAAAGCGCACGUAGGCGGAUCGUUAAGUCGGGGGUGAAAUCCUGGAGCUCAACUCCAGAACUGCCUUCGAUACUGGCGAUCUUGAGUCCGGAAGAGGUGAGUGGAACUCCUAGUGUAGAGGUGGAAUUCGUAGAUAUUAGGAAGAACACCAGUGGCGAAGGCGGGUCUCUGGGCCGAUACUGACGCUGAGGAGCGAAAGCGUGGGGAGCGAACAGG